CAAUAAAAAAUACUGCGACUCAAUACAAAAUCCCCCAAAAUCCGGGUGUCACUAAGUACAUGAGCUAUUAAAUAUCAACAUAGGCAAAAUUUCUAAUACAACUAUUUGGAAAGAUAGAACAAUGCUAAAUAAACUGAAAAAGAAGAGUCGAGGUCUACGGACGCCAAAGCAGCUACCUCAAAAGUCUCUAAGCAGGGAAAUGCUCCAAGUCUAGCAACCACCGUGCCUAGAAGUACCUGGAUCUGCACACGAAGUGCGGAGUGUAAUAUGAGUAUAACCGACAUAAUGUACUCAAUAAGUAACAAGAUUAACCUUGGGCUGAAAGCAGUGACGAGCUCAGAUAGGUACAAUCCAAACCAGAUAAUAACAGUAUGAAUAUGACAGCAAAACGAUGGUAAUAACUCAGAGAAAAUCUUAUAAUCAGUAGUACGCAGUACAGAAAAGUAGACUUGCUUUCAAGUUUGACAGCUUAGGCUCAAUACUGGUAAAUAUGCCAAGUAUAGCUAACAUGAGGAAUAUUACAUCUCUAUGUCUACAUGUCAAAUAUACAUGUCAUCUGUAAUGCAACACAGUGAUAAACUCAUAUACUCAUGCUCUCGGAGUAUUCAAUCUCAUUCAACACACUCAAUCACUCAGUAUUCAAACUUCAUACAAGGUUGUCCAGAUAAAGCCAACUAGUUUUGGAGGUAGUUUGGUUUCCCGUAUAAGCUUCCAUGCCAUUUGUCAAUCAGUUCCUUGUUAGAACAUAGAUUGUCAUAUCCCCUUUUAACAGUAUAUGUUCUAUAUUUUGAUUCUCCCUAUUUCAACCUAUCCGGAGUUGACAUUAACACCUGAUAAUUUUGUAAGCAAUCCCAGCACACAGUGGCGGAGCCACCUUAUAGCAAGAGGUUUCAACAGACACCUCUUCACAGAAAAAAUAUACUGUAUAGAUAGGUAAUUUUUUUAUUUUAUAUAUGCAUAUAUACUAUUUGUUGACUCCCAUUGGUAUAGUUACUUUUAAAUAUUUUGACACCCCUUACUGAAAAUAUUGGCUCCGCCAUUGCCAGCAUUUCAUUCAUCGUCCUGGAUACCCCUUGAACUGUGGGGUCCAAGUUUUGUCUGGCCAGAAGAAAUAGUGGACUCCUGAUCACUAGCAAGUAGAAAAAGAGAUAGGCAUUCAUCUUUCAAAAUCUCUGCUCUAACCACUUCUUAGAAAGAAAUAUGAGCUCCAUUCCCGAGCUUGAGUGAUGAUUUAAGCUGGAACUCACCCCAUAGCUUUGAGAUGUGUUUCUAGGGACAACCAUGAGGAGCUCUACCCUGUCUAGUGCACCAGUUGUUUGUCACCCCAUACUUAGUGCACCAGUUGUUUGUCACCCCAUACUUUGCUUGUAUUACAACUUUUAUAGCUCAUGACUUUCCAUGUUGUAUCUUCAAUGCCAUUUCAUUAUCAAACUCUUGCUUGUAUUGAUGCUACUGUUGUUUUUAUUUUAUUUUUUAAAAUUUGAUAGUCAUUAGUAAAUCAGAACAAUUUUUAGUUGUGGGAAGGACAUGAGAGAGCGACUCAUAUUUCACCUCUAAAGUAUUAAGUAAUACAUGUACCAAAAUGAUUUCCUAUUGCUGGUCGAGAUUCAAACAAACUAAUUUUGGCGAAGAUUUUCAAAUAUAUCCUUUAAUAAUUUCGAAAAUGAAAAAGUUUAACUCAUAAUUUUCUUAUUUUUAUUUUUUUAAAAUUUGUAAAUUGUAUAUAUUCCAAAAAAUAAAUUUACCUAAAUCUGAGUUUUAGCACUGAAAGUUGGUCAAAUUGACUUCUACUGAUCAAUUAGGAAUGGGGGAGUAUGUGAUUCAAUUUUUUUCAAAAGAGUUCAAUUUGGUCCUAGAAUAGCUAUUAAGUGAUUCAACUUGUGGUAGAAGAAUACGCGAAAAUCAAACUUCGCAAAUACACAAUGCUUUCUGCAAGUGCAGAGGAGAAUUGCCUUGGUUGGGCAGCAAGAGAUCCAUCUGGAUUUCUUUCAUCUUACAAAUUCAGCCGGAUGUACCUUUCGCUGACUGUUCGAUUUCUCCACUUUGGAUUACAUGAUCAUUUACUAACUUUAAAUGGUUGAACUGUUGAUUUGAUCUAGUUCUUGAGUUUUUUUAAGUAGCAGUGCUGUUUGUCUUCUGCAAAAAAUUUCUUUUACUUGCCACAGGGCAGUUGGCAAUGAUGAUGUUCUGCUAGAUAUUGUAUUUUGUGGAAUAUAUUGUCUGGACCAGGAAUAAACUUGGACAUUCAAAAUAUCUUCUAGUGCCAGAGGGAAGCUUAAUUUCAGAAAUCAUUUGUUGUCAUGGUACAUUUUUUUCUCAUUUACUUAUGUUGUGACAUUUUCCGCUUAGAUUGGCAUUUAGUUAUUGUCCUUAUAUUUAUAUUGUGUUAUUAAUUAUUUUCAUGAUUGUCAGACAUGAAAUUGUCAGAACUGUGAGAGAUCUUGGCACCAAUGUUAAGCACUUUAAAGUUGGCGACCAUGUUAACUUUAUUCGCCAAGCGAAUGAUCUUCGCUUCAUGGGAACAACAAAAACCACCAUUUCGCUCUUGGAGUUGGAACGUAUGUUAAUUCAUGAAUAUUGUAAUGAUGGAUUAGAGGUUCAUUGCUCGAGAGGAACAAAGCAGACACAAGAAAUGCUGGAUUUCUUCAAGCCUCUAAGAGUACAUAAAAUCAUAAAGGUCGGGAUAGGGCCUCGCUAUACCAAUCAAUAUAUAUCCAAAGCAUACUGACCAAAUAGGUAACUCCGGAGCAAGUGGAGUGCACCAACACCUCCGCUGAGCUGAUAGCCUACUCGGAGGAAUGUCAACCUAUCAAUUGGGAUCUGUGGGCAUGAAACGCAGCGUUCCCAGGUAAAAGGGACGUCAGUACAAAUAAAGUACCGAGUAUGUAAGGCAGGAAAGCAUAAACAAGAAUAGUAAUAUAAAGAGAGAUAAAGGAUAUACAACCUGUAACAUCUGAGUGCCUCUGGGGGAUACUGACAUGAAAUGCAUAAUACAUAUAUAUACAUAAACUUGUAAAAACAUAAGCCUCUCUGGGCAUCAUCAUCAUCAUAUCGUACCCGGCCUUAAAGAGGACUUAGUAAAAAUGUACCCGACCAUUAUAAGGCUCAGUAGAAUCGUACCCGGCCACGUGGAGCUCGGUAAACCCAACUGAUCAGUGGUUGCAUAAUAAGUGUCGUACCCGGCCUACUAUAGCGCGGCUCGGUAGAGUAAAAUAGAUGCUAUAUAUAAUACAUGCUAGACUCAUGGAAUCACGUUCUAAACCUUUUGGAGUGACAUAAGGUCGUUGCACCUUCAAUUAACAUAUGGACAUCAUACCAUCAAUAUGAGCUUCUAUAGGAUUCAAGGAUCAUACAUACUUGCUUAAAAUAACUUUAUAAGGAAAGAACAACAUGGGCAACCUUAGUUUAUAGGAGUAGAUCCGUUAGAAAAUAGCGUAUUCAUUCACUUUAGAUCAUGCCAAAAGAAAGAGGGAAGUGCCUUAACAUACCUUAACCAUGGUAAGUCCUUAAUACCUCCCAAGCUACUCUUCAAACAACUUAACUCAAUCUACCAUUGCAUAAGGAGAUUCAAAAUCAGUGUUGAAUAAAGGCCAAGUCUGCAACUUAAACUUGUAGCUCGUUUAUAUAAAUUCGGGAAGCAUCUCCCCUGUAACAAGAGUCUCCUCCAAUAUCAUAUACCAACAACAAUUACCAGAAAAAUCCAGCAAUACAUUAUUAUCAAUAACAAGACACCAUAAAACAACAACAAGUCAUAACUAUUUUAGGACGAGCGACAAGCUCCAAUUGGAAUUCGUAUACCCCAUAUCAUCCCUUAUAAACUUUUUACUUUAACUUAAUAGUAUCAUUAACAUGAUAAUGAAGUCAUUCAUCAAUAAUUCCAGCCUUAUACCAUAUAUCCAUAACAAAUAAAAUGAUGCACAACUCCAAUUAUUCUUAAUUAGCAACUUUAUUCACUAGUUCAUGUCUAGUUCAUCCAUUUAACUUAACCAAUGCCAAGAUAACCUUAAGAACCUGUAGGAACACAAUAUAAUUACCUCAUACAGUAGAUGCAAGUCGAAAUCCAUAUUAUAUUUAGCUUACAACAGACCAAUACACCCCAAUCAAUUCAUAUCCAAAACGACGACUAUAGUAGUGUCAAACAUAAUGACUAAUCCAUGAUUUUGCCAUUAUGUGGUAUUUAUCCACACCAUUUAUCCUCCAAAAACUCUAUUUAACAGCAACAAAAUAGACAUCCCAAAAGCUACACGAAACAUCCCAAAAACAGUCCAUUACAAGUCAAAUAACUCAAACUUACAGCUUCCGAUCACCAUCCCGUGAGUUCUAACUAUUAUGAAAUUAAUUAAUCAACCUUCCUUGAUAUUUAAUAUCUUAAAACCAGAAAUUAGGCAUUAUUAUUAACUUCAAAAUACCUUCUAAACUCAAACUAUAAAGAAAAAAAAGUAAUAUAGCGAUACUUACGUCGUGGGGAUCGUUCUAGUGUUAUUGCUUUGUGAUUUCGUGCCUCGGACGAUAAUCUUGUUGGAUAACCUUGUGGACAGCUUAAGGGUGAGGUUAGGGGUUUUAUUUGGUCGAGCUCUCUGGAAUUAUGAAGAAAGAGACGACAUAGGAAGAUAAAUAUCCAUUUUGGUUGAAAAGUCAAAAGGUGCU
RNAcentral lists this long non-coding RNA (4647 nucleotides) under Nicotiana tabacum (common tobacco). RNAcentral describes it as "long non-coding RNA (NTAB_LNC010995)". The record is from RNAcentral. Lineage: Eukaryota; Viridiplantae; Streptophyta; Magnoliopsida; Solanales; Solanaceae.